UAUCAAUAAGCGGAGGAAAAGAAACCAACAGGGAUUGCCCUAGUAACGGCGAGUGAAGCGGCAACAGCUCAAAUUUGAAAUCUGGCGCAAGCCCGAGUUGUAAUUUGGAGAGGAUGCUUCUGGGCAGCGGCCGUUCUAAGUUCCUUGGAACAGGACGUCAUAGAGGGUGAGAAUCCCGUAUGUGACCGGCGCGCACCCUCCACGUAGCUCCUUCGACGAGUCGAGUUGUUUGGGAAUGCAGCUCUAAAUGGGAGGUAAAUUUCUUCUAAAGCUAAAUACCGGCCAGAGACCGAUAGCGCACAAGUAGAGUGAUCGAAAGAUGAAAAGCACUUUGGAAAGAGAGUUAAACAGCACGUGAAAUUGUUGAAAGGGAAGCGCUUGCAACCAGACUUGGCGGCGGUGUUCCACCGGGCUUCUGCCCGGUCCACUCGCCGCCGCCAGGCCAACAUCAUCUGUGGCCGCCGGAGAAGACGCGGGGAAUGUAGCUCCCUCGGGAGUGUUAUAGCCCCGCAUGAUACGGCGCGCCGCGGGUGAGGUNCGCGCUUCGGCAAGGAUGUUGGCGUAAUGGUUGUCAGCGGCCCGUCCUUGAAAACACGGAACCCAAAGGAGUCUAACAUCUAAUGCGGAGAUGUUUCGGGGUGUCAAACCCUUGCGCGUUAAUGAAAAGGUGAAACUGGAAGGUGGGAAACUUUUUGUGCACUCAUCGACCGGAUCCCUGAUGUCCUCGGAAUGGUAU
Molecule: ribosomal RNA, 736 nt
Filed under: Schizothyrium cryptogamum
Lineage: Eukaryota; Fungi; Ascomycota; Dothideomycetes; Mycosphaerellales; Schizothyriaceae
Description: eukaryotic LSU rRNA
Rfam family: Eukaryotic large subunit ribosomal RNA
Source: RNAcentral